Molecule: ribosomal RNA, 403 nt
Filed under: Fusobacteriota bacterium
Lineage: Bacteria; Fusobacteriati; Fusobacteriota
Description: Fusobacteria bacterium partial 16S ribosomal RNA
Rfam family: Bacterial small subunit ribosomal RNA
Source: RNAcentral
UGGGGAAUAUUGCACAAUGGAGGGAACUCUGAUGCAGCGACGCCGCGUGAACGAAGAAGGCUUUCGAGUCGUAAAGUUCUUUUAUAUGGGAAGAUAAUGACGGUACCAUAAGAAAAAGCCCCUGCUAACUACGUGCCAGCAGCCGCGGUAAUACGUAGGGGGCUAGCGUUGUCCGGAAUCACUGGGCGUAAAGGGUUCGCAGGCGGAAAUGCAAGUCAGGUGUAAAAGGCAGUAGCUUAACUACUGUAAGCAUUUGAAACUGCAUAUCUUGAGAAGAGUAGAGGUAAGUGGAAUUUUUAGUGUAGCAGUGAAAUGCGUAGAUAUUAAAAAGAAUACCGGUGGCGAAGGCGACUUACUGGGCUCAUUCUGACGCUGAGGAACGAAAGCGUGGGUAGCAAACAGG